AAAAGAUUAGUUAAUAUAUAACCUAAGGUUGUCGACUUUAAGUAACUAGUAUAAUAUAGUAUCUUUUA
Molecule: transfer RNA, 68 nt
Filed under: Obscurella hidalgoi
Lineage: Eukaryota; Metazoa; Mollusca; Gastropoda; Architaenioglossa; Cochlostomatidae
Description: tRNA-Asp
Source: RNAcentral